Molecule: ribosomal RNA, 256 nt
Filed under: uncultured bacterium
Lineage: Bacteria
Description: partial 16S ribosomal RNA
Rfam family: Bacterial small subunit ribosomal RNA
Source: RNAcentral
GACGUAGGUGGCGAACGUUAUCCGGAAUCAUUGGGCGUAAAGGGUGCGUAGAUGGCCUGAUAAGUUAGCAGUGGGAAAUCGAGGCUCAACCUCGUGGAAGCUGGUAAUACUGUUAGGCUCGAGUGCAGGAGAAGUUAACGGAACUCCAUGUGGAGCGGUAAAAUGUGUAGAUAUAUGGAAGAACAUCAAUAACGGCGAAGGCAGUUAACUAUUCUGUUACUGACGUUGAGGCACGAAAGCGUGGGGAGCAAAACGG